UCCUCGUUAGUAUAGUGGUGAGUAUCCCCGCCUGUCACGCGGGAGACCGGGGUUCGUUUCCUCGACGGGGAG
Non-coding RNA from Ciona savignyi (Pacific transparent sea squirt), 72 nucleotides. The record is from Rfam. NCBI's taxonomy places the organism in Eukaryota, Metazoa, Chordata, Ascidiacea, Phlebobranchia, Cionidae.